Molecule: ribosomal RNA, 451 nt
Filed under: uncultured bacterium
Lineage: Bacteria
Description: partial 16S ribosomal RNA
Rfam family: Bacterial small subunit ribosomal RNA
Source: RNAcentral
GAUGAACGCUGGCGGCGUGCCUAACACAUGCAAGUCGAGCGGCAGCGAGGGGUGCUUGCACCCUGUCGGCGAGCGGCGGACGGCUGAGUAACGCGUGGGAACGUGCCCCAAAGUGAGGAAUAACUGCCCGAAAGGGUAGCUAAUACCGCAUAUUAUCUUCGGAUCAAAGGAUUUAUCCGCUUUGGGAGCGGCUCGCGUCGGAUUAGGUAGUUGGUGAGGUAAUGGCUUACCAAGCCGACGAUCCGUAGCUGGUCUGAGAGGAUGACCAGCCAGACUGGAACUGAGACACGGUCCAGACUCCUACGGGAGGCAGCAGUGAGGAAUCUUCCACAAUGGGCGAAAGCCUGAUGGAGCAACGCCGCGUGCAGGACGAAGGCCUUCGGGUUGUAAACUGCUUUUAUAAGUGAGGAAUAUGACGGUAACUUAUGAAUAAGGAUCGGCUAACUACGUG